AGCGAACGCUGGCGGCAGGCCUAACACAUGCAAGUCGAACGAACCUUUCGGGGUUAGUGGCGGACGGGUGAGUAACACGUGGGAACGUGCCUUUAGGUUCGGAAUAACUCAGGGAAACUUGUGCUAAUACCGAAUGUGCCCUUCGGGGGAAAGAUUAAUCGCCUUUAGAGCGGCCCGCGUCUGAUUAGCUAGUUGUUGAGGUAAUGGCUCACCAAGGCGACGAUCAGUAGCUGGUCUGAGAGGAUGAUCAGCCACAUUGGGACUGAGACACGGCCCAAACUCCUACGGGAGGCAGCAGUGGGGAAUCUUGCGCAAUGGGCGAAAGCCUGACGCAGCCAUGCCGCGUGAAUGAUGAAGGUCUUAGGAUUGUAAAAUUCUUUCACCGGGGACGAUAAUGACGGUACCCGGAGAAGAAGCCCCGGCUAACUUCGUG
RNAcentral lists this ribosomal RNA (433 nucleotides) under uncultured bacterium. RNAcentral describes it as "partial 16S ribosomal RNA". It matches the Rfam family "Bacterial small subunit ribosomal RNA", at positions 29 to 507 of the family's 1533-position model. The record is from RNAcentral.